This 358-nucleotide ribosomal RNA is filed under the name uncultured soil bacterium. RNAcentral describes it as "bacterial SSU rRNA". It matches the Rfam family "Bacterial small subunit ribosomal RNA", at positions 26 to 387 of the family's 1533-position model. The record is from RNAcentral.
AGAAUGAACGCUGGCGGCGUGCUUUACACAUGCAAGUCGAGCGAGGCGUGUAGCAAUACACAGUCGAGCGGCGAACGGGUGAGUAACGCGUGGAUAACCUACCCAGAGGUGGGGGAUAACCCGGGGAAACUCGGGCUAAUACCGCAUAACACCGCAAGGUCAAAGGGGGCCGCAAGGCUCUCGCCAUUGGAGGGGUCCGCGUCCGAUUAGCUAGUUGGUAGGUAAUGGCCUACCGAAGGCGACGAUCGGUAGGCCGGACCUGAGAGGGUGAUCGGCCACACUGGAACUGACGACACCGGUCCAGACUCCACGGAGGCAGCAGUAGGGAUUUAGCGCAACGUGGGGGGAACCCUAGGAC